UUUAACCUUAUAAAUUCGCACUAUGCUAAGAAAGAUCAAAAUAAAAAACCGCAGUCGAUACUAAAAACCCAGUUCGUCGGGGAUGUUUGCCAAAAUGGCCGUCACCAUGACUUGACAGGCACACAGGUGCACUUGUGUUGCACAAAUUCAAUUCUCCUACAGAUCCUGAUACCAUAAGUCCGUGGUUUCAGCCUAACGACGUGAGUUGCUGGUCCGUUGCAGCUGAAGCGGAGCGUCGUACUUGGAGGUUAGUUCCAGCCUGUCGGUCAAGACGAUACAAGGGAGUAUAACGAGAUCAGUUGGUCUGUUAAACGCAUAAAAAUACAUUCGAUGCUUAAGUCAAAAUUGUUUGCAGUUUUGUGUUAAGGCUUUACUUACCGACACAUUCAUAGGGGAACCCUGGUUUACAGGGAUAAGAACGCCAAGGGCCACAUCCAUUAUACUAACUAUACAAUAUGUGUAAGUUUUACUGCACUUCUGAGGGUCCAUCUACGAACCUCAAGUGCUUGCACUGCGGGACGCGGUGAGUCGCGUUACAGUCUACUGGAUGCGCAUCGGAAGGCGAGCCCCAACACACAAUCGGCAUUGCAUCAUAUCAAAUUUCAUGCUCAAUAUUUAUUUUAUACUCUUAAAGAUAAGUUGGGCCAUAACUUGACCGUGCGGGUGAAGAAGUGACACUGCAUGGAGGCAUCUACUUGAGGUGCAGACCGCGCACGCACAGACCUCAC
This 728-nucleotide long non-coding RNA is filed under the name Volvox carteri. Its description in RNAcentral is "long non-coding RNA (VCAR_LNC002109)". The record is from RNAcentral. Lineage: Eukaryota; Viridiplantae; Chlorophyta; Chlorophyceae; Chlamydomonadales; Volvocaceae.